UCUCUGGCUGCUGCGAGCCACACUGCUGUGCCCGUCCCUGUGCCGUGCGCCCUGCCUUGGAGCCAGCCAACCAUGGCAGAAGAUGUGCUGCUGCGUACUGCGUCUCAGUGACGAGGAAAGAGACUGAGCCAGCUGACGUCUUUCUAAGAAGAGCAAAAGGCACAGGGGAGCCAUCCGAUGAUGGAGUCAGAGACCGAGGAGCGGCACAGCCACAGCCGGGGGCGCCAGGGACUGGCGGCGGCCACUGGCAGCCAGUGGAAGGCAGGACCCAUCCGCGGCACCUCGAUGCCGAACCUCAGGUCUGCAGAACCCAGAAGGAAGACAACUGUUGCGAGCCUUUGUUACAGCCACCGCAGGAAACUAAGAAAGAGCAACUGAGCAGCCGCGUCCCUGGCGUGAACCCGGCCAGCGCUGCUCCUGCGGCGGCAGGCCAGGGCGCACUUAGCUCCUUCCCGUCUCCAACUGCGUGUCGCCGUUUUGCUCUGGGGACACUGAGUCAGCUUCUUGCCUCCCAGGUGGGGCCUGAUCCCCAGACCCUGAGGAAUAGGGGCCCCCGCGGCGCUCUUCGCCUUUCAGUCAAUCAGCUUUUUUAUUUUUUAGGUACAUAUUUGUUGUACAUCUCCUCCCCGCUCACUAACUCCACUGAAAAUGGAACUUUAAAAAUCAGAUGUUCUUCUUUCAGAGAUAAAUAACUCUUCCAAACUUUUUCCUGUUGAGCAUAUAAACAACACCGACUCCCCUCCCCAGCCCUAAGCCAAAGCCUUUUGCAGGAAGAGGAGGAGGGAUGGAAGGUGGCCGGGAGGGGCGAAACCAGCAUGGAGUUCUGUGUCCCCUCUCUGCUCUCUGCCUCGGUUUCUGGCUAUCAAAGACCUGUGGCCACCUGCACACAGGAUAUGGGAAAACAGGCCCCUCCUCCUCCUCAGAGCUGGCUUCAGAAUAAAUCCUUUCUAUCAAAAUAAACAGCUCCUUUGACUUGUCAGCAGGGAGCGGGCAAACGUGAGUGGCUGGCAGCAUGAGUGUCCCCAUGCUGCCCUGCCUCCCUCCCUGGCCCCAAGCCCCGGACACUGUCAAAUGAGUUCAUCCUCUGAAAGGCAGGUUCCUGGAGUGCUCCAAGCUGAGAAAGUACUAGAAGGGACUUUGGGUCAAUCGGAAAGCCCGGGGCUAGGGAUUUAGCUCAGUGGCACAAGUUCCUGCCUUGCAAGCAGGCAGUCGUGAGUUUGUUCCCUGGUACCGAUAAAAAGGAAAAAGACAAAAAAAAAAAAAAAAAAAAAAGUAGGAAAGCCCGCAUGAGGUCAAGUGUAUGCAUGUGUUGCAUGCCUGUGUGUCAGUGUGCACAUGCAUGUAUUUGAUUAGGUGAGGCAGCUCUGUGAAUGGGAUCAGGCCCACCCCCAGAUGGCUUUCCAUCCCCAAAUCUUGCAUCCAAGAAGAAUUUCCCUUGAGCACCUCCUGUCUCCCUGCGGCCACUGAGGAUCACGUCCCAGGCCACUCCUGCAAUGGGAAGGACUUUUCCAGCCCAGUGCCCACCAGCUCGUGACCAGCUUCCAGAAUCCCUUGGAGAAAACACACAGGGAAAUUGCUGUAAAUCCACUUAAUGAUGGAGAAGUCCCAAAACACCAUAUUCCAAAGGAUGAAAAAUGCAGGAUGCAAAUGAGAAAGAAUCAAGGUCAAUAACACCGUGGAGACGGGCCUAAUGGCAGAUUUGGAGAUAUACGUAAUAAAAAUUGCAUGUUGCUUUUAAACCUCA
Long non-coding RNA from Cavia porcellus (domestic guinea pig), 1744 nucleotides. RefSeq lists it as uncharacterized. Lineage: Eukaryota; Metazoa; Chordata; Mammalia; Rodentia; Caviidae. The record is from RefSeq and is a predicted model, not a curated record. The transcript is spliced from 2 exons.